GAAGGGGGCUAGCGUUGCUCGGAAUCACUGGGCGUAAAGGGCGCGUAGGCGGCUGAUUUAGUCGAGGGUGAAAGCCCGUGGCUCAACCACGGAAUGGCCUUCGAUACUGAUUGGCUUGAGACCGGAAGAGGACAGCGGAACUGCGAGUGUAGAGGUGAAAUUCGUAGAUAUUCGCAAGAACACCAGUGGCGAAGGCGGCUGUCUGGUCCGGUUCUGACGCUGAGGCGCGAAAGCGUGGGGGAGCAAACAGGAUUAGAUACCCUGGUAGUCCACGCUGUAAACGAUGAAUGCUAGCCGUUGGGGGUGCAUGCACCUCAGUGGCGCCGCUAACGCUUUAAGCAUUCCGCCUGGGGAGUACGGUCGCAAGAUUA
Molecule: ribosomal RNA, 371 nt
Filed under: uncultured organism
Description: partial 16S ribosomal RNA
Rfam family: Bacterial small subunit ribosomal RNA
Source: RNAcentral